AAAUGGGUGCAAUGAGCAGAUGAAAUAGUCAAGCAAAGUGAAAGAACUGUCAAAUCUCAAUCCUGUUUUCCUGAACCACUGAUACAGUUUUCUUUGCACCUCAACCAGGCAAUUUGCCACAGGAGAGAAAAUGGAUUUAGCAGACUCAACAGCACGGUCCACUCUGCAGUGAGAUAUCGUAGCUGACUAUGAGUUUCUGCUCACUGUUGCUGCCCAGCAUCACAAUGGUGAAUCAGACUGCAUGCUACUAGUAUGAGAGAUUACCAAAAUGCAAAAUUUGAAAUAUUGGUUCUACAGAAUGGGUGUGACUUACAUAGCAUCAUAAGAUAAAAACCUGUCUAGACACCAGGGCAACACACGUCUCCAUGAAAGUUAUGAAUCA
This is a long non-coding RNA of Ochotona princeps (American pika), 382 nucleotides long. RefSeq lists it as uncharacterized. The transcript is spliced from 3 exons. NCBI's taxonomy places the organism in Eukaryota, Metazoa, Chordata, Mammalia, Lagomorpha, Ochotonidae. The record is from RefSeq and is a predicted model, not a curated record.